GAUGAACGCUGGCGGCGUGCUUAACACAUGCGAGUCGAACGAUGAAGCCCAGCUUGCUGGGUGGAUUAGUGGCGAACGGGUGAGUAACACGUGAGUAACCUGCCCUUAACUCUGGGAUAAGCCUGGGAAACUGGGUCUAAUACCGGAUAGGAGCGUCCACCGCAUGGUGGGUGUUGGAAAGAUUUAUCGGUUUUGGAUGGACUCGCGGCCUAUCAGCUUGUUGGUGAGGUAAUGGCUCACCAAGGCGACGACGGGUAGCCGGCCUGAGAGGGGGACCGGCCACACUGGGACUGAGACACGGCCCAGACUCCUACGGGAGGCAGCAGUGGGGAAUAUUGCACAAUGGGCGCAAGCCUGUUGCAGCGACGCCGCGUGAGAGAUGACGGCCUUCGGGUUGUAACCCUCUUUCAGUAGGGAAGAAGCGAAAGUGACGGUACCUGCAGAAGAAGCACCGGCUAACUACGUG
RNAcentral lists this ribosomal RNA (466 nucleotides) under uncultured bacterium. RNAcentral's name for it is "partial 16S ribosomal RNA". It matches the Rfam family "Bacterial small subunit ribosomal RNA", at positions 28 to 507 of the family's 1533-position model. The record is from RNAcentral.